Molecule: long non-coding RNA, 580 nt
Filed under: Rhinopithecus roxellana (golden snub-nosed monkey)
Lineage: Eukaryota; Metazoa; Chordata; Mammalia; Primates; Cercopithecidae
Description: lncRNA (ENSRROG00000045911.1)
Source: RNAcentral
CCUACCCUUUGGAGCUCCCGGACCCGCUGACCACUCGGUGAGGUCAGAGCCCACCCCCGGAAGGGCCGCUUGUCGGGGACGGGUUCGCCCUCUCCUGGCCUCCCCGGACCAGCGCGCGGGGAGGAUCCCGGCAACGCCGGGCGGCUGCAGACCUUGAACGGCCUUAGCCUGGUGACCUCCCCGGGAAAGGCUGGGCGGUGCUUCCACCCUGAGGGCCACUUGUUAAUUUGCAAGAGAAAGUGCUGCCGAGGGUCCACACGUGCGAAUCCGCCUGUGGAGUGCGUCCCCUCCCUGGGGGCAAGGCCUAGGGGAGGCCAAAGGGGAGAAGUUGCCGGAAGACUGGGAAGUAAGGGCAGGGGCGUCGGAGGAAUCGAAGGUGCAGUGACGUCAGGCUCGGACACCCGGCGGACUCCUCUCAAGGUUUCUCUCCUACAAAGCCUGCUUGCUGCAGGAUACAAGAGUUCAGUCACUCCUUGGGAACUGUCUGCAGGCCUCAAACUUCUUCAUGGGAAAAAAAUGGCUUCUCCUUUUUUAAUUGAAUGAACUGGAAGAAGUUCAUUGUUAUUCAUCAACUUCAAAG